GGUGGUCGAUGAUGGAACUUGGGUUUUGUAGAGAUGGAUUUCGCUGAGGACAAAUGGGUGGGUUUCGCCGAGUUCGAAUCAUGUUGGCUUGAGUUAGCGUCGAGGGAGAGGGAGAGGGAGAUGUAGCAGAGAGACAAAGAGAGAGGGAGAGGUAGCAGAGAGAGGGAGAGGUAGCAGAGAGAGAUGGAGAAAUAAUGAGAGGGAGUUGCGGCUAGGGUUAAGAGACGAAGGAAGGGAGAUAGGAGAGAG
RNAcentral lists this long non-coding RNA (249 nucleotides) under Prunus persica (peach). Its description in RNAcentral is "long non-coding RNA (PPER_LNC001240)". The record is from RNAcentral. Lineage: Eukaryota; Viridiplantae; Streptophyta; Magnoliopsida; Rosales; Rosaceae.